This 67-nucleotide transfer RNA is filed under the name Sinosolenaia oleivora. RNAcentral describes it as "tRNA-Phe". It matches the Rfam family "tRNA". From Rfam's summary of the family: Transfer RNA (tRNA) molecules are approximately 80 nucleotides in length. Lineage: Eukaryota; Metazoa; Mollusca; Bivalvia; Unionida; Unionidae. The record is from RNAcentral.
UGGAAAAGUAGUUUAAACUUAAAACAUAACACUGAAAAUGUUAAGAUGUCACUUUGUCCUUAUCCAA